GACGAACGCUGGCGGCGUGCUUAACACAUGCAAGUCGAGCGGUAGCACAGAGAGCUUGCUCUCGGGUGACGAGCGGCGGACGGGUGAGUAAUGCUUAGGAAUCUGCCUAUUAGUGGGGGACAACAUUCCGAAAGGAAUGCUAAUACCGCAUACGUCCUACGGGAGAAAGCAGGGGAUCUUCGGACCUUGCGCUAAUAGAUGAGCCUAAGUCGGAUUAGCUAGUUGGUGGGGCAAAGGCCUACCAAGGCGACGAUCUGUAGCGGGUCUGAGAGGAUGAUCCGCCACACUGGGACUGAGACACGGCCCAGACCCCUACGGGAGGCAGCAGUGGGGAAUAUUGGACAAUGGGGGGAACCCUGAUCCAGCCAUGCCGCGUGUGUGAAGAAGGCCUUAUGGUUGUAAAGCACUUUAAGCGAGGAGGAGGCUACUUUAGUUAAUACCUAGAGAUAGUGGACGUUACUCGCAGAAUAAGCACCGGCUAACUCUGUGCCAGCCGCCGCAGUAA
RNAcentral lists this ribosomal RNA (505 nucleotides) under uncultured bacterium. Its description in RNAcentral is "partial 16S ribosomal RNA". It matches the Rfam family "Bacterial small subunit ribosomal RNA", at positions 28 to 523 of the family's 1533-position model. The record is from RNAcentral.